GUGAGGAGCGUCUCUGCCCGGCCGCCCCGUCUGAGAAGUGAGGAGCCCCUCCGCCCGGCAGCCACCCCGUCUGGGAAGUGAGGAGCCCCUCCGCCCGGCAGCCGCCCCAUCUGCGAAUAAGAUGAAGAGGCCUGAGCAGUUUCGUGGAGGGGAAGAAACAGGAAAACCUCUUCAAAAGACAAAAAGCUGGCACUGCAUUCUCUCUCUGUAGCAGGACAGAACUGUCUAAAGACAAGACCCCUUUGGCCAAAAUAAAGGAACCUGAAACAUUACUAAUGACCCUUCAAAAGCUUCAGUUGUUUGUUUCCUUUAAUUAACAUCUAAAUAGAUUAUACAUCUUCUAUAAUUAUAAUAUGGAAAUGUAUAUGAGCAAAAUAUAUAAAUUUUUUGGUGACUGCUUAGGGAAGAAUGAUGUCAGUGAAGUUCAUCCAAGGUCUUAAGCAGCAGCAUCUAUGCAGCCAGGGCGUGGUCAGCGUUUGGGGACAGAGGUAAAUAUCCGCAAUCCAUGCAUCUCUUU
Molecule: long non-coding RNA, 517 nt
Filed under: Homo sapiens (human)
Lineage: Eukaryota; Metazoa; Chordata; Mammalia; Primates; Hominidae
Description: novel transcript, antisense to BOLA3
Source: RNAcentral